UUUCCUUUCACCUACCAUGGUCAAGAGAAAGGUUUUUGACUCAGUCAUGCUUAUUCCUUUAUGUUAGGUUUAAUGCAACCCCUAGGAGUGACUUGCCACCUUCUCUCUUUCUCCUUUUAAUUUUUAUUUUUAUUUUCAGCAGCACUUAUUCUUAUCCUUGCCUGAAAAAGUCACUAACCUUUUUACGCGAUUGUGUACAUGGGUGAUACGCCCCCGGUUACUCAGUUAGUCACUUGUUCAAGUGGCUACUAGCUCUGUUCAUAGUCUAGACCAUCGAAACUUAUUUGCUUGAAAAAGUCACUGACCUUUUUACGCGAUUGUGUACAUGGGUGAUACA
This 337-nucleotide long non-coding RNA is filed under the name Manihot esculenta (cassava). RNAcentral describes it as "long non-coding RNA (MESC_LNC001069)". The record is from RNAcentral. Lineage: Eukaryota; Viridiplantae; Streptophyta; Magnoliopsida; Malpighiales; Euphorbiaceae.